AAGUCGUAACAAGGUUUCCGUAGGUGAACCUGCGGAAGGAUCAUUAUUAAAUGUUACUCCGGUAACUUUAUAAUCCCUUAACACCUGUGCAUUUUGUCGCUUCGGCGAUAUUAUUCAAACAUCAGUGUAAUGAAUGUAAAUUAUCAUAACAAAUACAACUUUCAACAACGGAUCUCUUGGCUCUCU
Molecule: unclassified non-coding RNA, 186 nt
Filed under: Hannaella zeae
Lineage: Eukaryota; Fungi; Basidiomycota; Tremellomycetes; Tremellales; Bulleribasidiaceae
Description: partial internal transcribed spacer region
Rfam family: Eukaryotic small subunit ribosomal RNA (bases 1-46)
Source: RNAcentral